This 463-nucleotide ribosomal RNA is filed under the name uncultured bacterium. RNAcentral describes it as "partial 16S ribosomal RNA". It matches the Rfam family "Bacterial small subunit ribosomal RNA", at positions 28 to 507 of the family's 1533-position model. The record is from RNAcentral.
GACGAACGCUGGCGGCGUGCUUAACACAUGCAAGUCGAACGGAAAGGCCCUGCUUUUGUGGGGUGCUCGAGUGGCGAACGGGUGAGUAACACGUGAGUAACCUGCCCUUGACUUUGGGAUAACUUCAGGAAACUGGGGCUAAUACCGGAUAGGAGCUCCUGCUGCAUGGUGGGGGUUGGAAAGUUUCGGCGGUUGGGGAUGGACUCGCGGCUUAUCAGCUUGUUGGGGGGGUAAUGGCUUACCAAGGCUUUGACGGGUCGCCGGCCUGAGAGGGGGACCGGCCGGACAGGGACGGAGACACGGUGGAGACUCCUACGGGAGGCAGCAGUGGGGAAGAGUGGACCAGGGGGGAAACGCUGAUCCAGAGAUGUCGGGGGAGUGAUGAAGGGCUUAGGGUGGUAAAGCGCCGGGAAACGUGAGGAGAAUGAGAGUACGGGGAAAAGAAGAUACGGCUAACUACGUG